GACGAACGCUGGCGGCGUGCCUAAUACAUGCAAGUAGAACGCUGAAGAGAGGAGCUUGCUCUUCUUGGAUGAGUUGCGAACGGGUGAGUAACGCGUAGGUAACCUGCCUUGUAGCGGGGGAUAACUAUUGGAAACGAUAGCUAAUACCGCAUAACAAUGGAUGACACAUGUCAUUUAUUUGAAAGGGGCAAUUGCUCCACUACAAGAUGGACCUGCGUUGUAUUAGCUAGUAGGUGAGGUAAUGGCUCACCUAGGCGACGAUACAUAGCCGACCUGAGAGGGUGAUCGGCCACACUGGGACUGAGACACGGCCCAGACUCCUACGGGAGGCAGCAGUAGGGAAUCUUCGGCAAUGGGGGCAACCCUGACCGAGCAACGCCGCGUGAGUGAAGAAGGUUUUCGGAUCGUAAAGCUCUGUUGUAAGUCAAGAACGGGUGUGAGAGUGGAAAGUUCACACUGUGACGGUAGCUUACCAGAAAGGGACGGCUAACUACGUGCCAGCAGCCGCGGUAAUACGUAGGUCCCGAGCGUUGUCCGGAUUUAUUGGGCGUAAAGCGAGCGCAGGCGGUUUGAUAAGUCUGAAGUUAAAGGCUGUGGCUCAACCAUAGUUCGCUUUGGAAACUGUCAAACUUGAGUGCAGAAGGGGAGAGUGGAAUUCCAUGUGUAGCGGUGAAAUGCGUAGAUAUAUGGAGGAACACCGGUGGCGAAAGCGGCUCUCUGGUCUGUAACUGACGCUGAGGCUCGAAAGCGUGGGGAGCGAACAGGAUUAGAUACCCUGGUAGUCCACGCCGUAAACGAUGAGUGCUAGGUGUUGGAUCCUUUCCGGGAUUCAGUGCCGCAGCUAACGCAUUAAGCACUCCGCCUGGGGAGUACGACCGCAAGGUUGAAACUCAAAGGAAUUGACGGGGGCCCGCACAAGCGGUGGAGCAUGUGGUUUAAUUCGAAGCAACGCGAAGAACCUUACCAGGUCUUGACAUCCCGAUGCUAUUUCUAGAGAUAGAAAGUUACUUCGGUACAUCGGUGACAGGUGGUGCAUGGUUGUCGUCAGCUCGUGUCGUGAGAUGUUGGGUUAAGUCCCGCAACGAGCGCAACCCCUAUUGUUAGUUGCCAUCAUUCAGUUGGGCACUCUAGCGAGACUGCCGGUAAUAAACCGGAGGAGGGUGGGGAUGACGUCAAAUCAUCAUGCCCCUUAUGACCUGGGCUACACACGUGCUACAAUGGUUGGUACAACGAGUUGCGAGUCGGUGACGGCGAGCUAAUCUCUUAAAGCCAAUCUCAGUUCGGAUUGUAGGCUGCAACUCGCCUACAUGAAGUCGGAAUCGCUAGUAAUCGCGGAUCAGCACGCCGCGGUGAAUACGUUCCCGGGCCU
RNAcentral lists this ribosomal RNA (1369 nucleotides) under uncultured bacterium. RNAcentral describes it as "bacterial SSU rRNA". It matches the Rfam family "Bacterial small subunit ribosomal RNA", at positions 28 to 1381 of the family's 1533-position model. The record is from RNAcentral.